This is a long non-coding RNA of Physella acuta, 274 nucleotides long. RefSeq lists it as uncharacterized. Lineage: Eukaryota; Metazoa; Mollusca; Gastropoda; Physidae. The record is from RefSeq and is a predicted model, not a curated record.
AUAAAAUUGGUAGACAGAGAUACCAAUGCUUUAUGUUCAUCAGUAAAUGAUCCCCACAUCACAACAUUUGAUGGAAAGCUGUUUCAUGUUUUCUUGCUUGGUGAAUUUGUGUUCUAUCGACACUCCACACUACCUAUUGAGGUUCGAGUGUUUUAUCGAGCCUGUGGUAGUGGACGUGUGUCAUGUAACUGUGCAGUUGCAGCAAGAGCAGGAGAUGAUGUUAUUGUCAUUGACAAGUGUGGUCCAAAAAAUUUGGGGAAUGCUUUUUACCCAA